RNAcentral lists this ribosomal RNA (467 nucleotides) under uncultured bacterium. RNAcentral describes it as "partial 16S ribosomal RNA". It matches the Rfam family "Bacterial small subunit ribosomal RNA", at positions 29 to 507 of the family's 1533-position model. The record is from RNAcentral.
ACGAACGCUGGCGGCGUGCUUAACACAUGCAAGUCGAACGCAAAGGCCCUGCUUUUGUGGGGUGCUCGAGUGGCGAACGGGUGAGUAACACGUGAGUAACCUGCCCUUGACUUUGGGAUAACUUCAGGAAACUGGGGCUAAUACCGGAUAGGAGCUCCUGCUGCAUGGUGGGGGUUGGAAAGUUUCGGCGGUUGGGGAUGGACUCGCGGCUUAUCAGCUUGUUGGUGGGGUAGUGGCUUACCAAGGCUUUGACGGGUAGCCGGCCUGAGAGGGUGACCGGCCACAUUGGGACUGAGAUACGGCCCAGACUCCUACGGGAGGCAGCAGUGGGGAAUAUUGCACAAUGGGCGGAAGCCUGAUGCAGCAACGCCGCGUGCGGGAUGACGGCCUUCGGGUUGUAAACCGCUUUCGCCUGUGACGAAGCGUGAGUGACGGUAAUGGGUAAAGAAGCACCGGCUAACUACGUG